Molecule: ribosomal RNA, 1530 nt
Filed under: Escherichia coli
Lineage: Bacteria; Pseudomonadati; Pseudomonadota; Gammaproteobacteria; Enterobacterales; Enterobacteriaceae
Also listed under: 4 other names
Description: bacterial SSU rRNA
Rfam family: Bacterial small subunit ribosomal RNA
Source: RNAcentral
AGAGUUUGAUCAUGGCUCAGAUUGAACGCUGGCGGCAGGCCUAACACAUGCAAGUCGAACGGUAACAGGAAGAAGCUUGCUUCUUUGCUGACGAGUGGCGGACGGGUGAGUAAUGUCUGGGAAACUGCCUGAUGGAGGGGGAUAACUACUGGAAACGGUAGCUAAUACCGCAUAACGUCGCAAGACCAAAGAGGGGGACCUUCGGGCCUCUUGCCAUCGGAUGUGCCCAGAUGGGAUUAGCUUGUUGGUGGGGUAACGGCUCACCAAGGCGACGAUCCCUAGCUGGUCUGAGAGGAUGACCAGCCACACUGGAACUGAGACACGGUCCAGACUCCUACGGGAGGCAGCAGUGGGGAAUAUUGCACAAUGGGCGCAAGCCUGAUGCAGCCAUGCCGCGUGUAUGAAGAAGGCCUUCGGGUUGUAAAGUACUUUCAGCGGGGAGGAAGGGAGUAAAGUUAAUACCUUUGCUCAUUGACGUUACCCGCAGAAGAAGCACCGGCUAACUCCGUGCCAGCAGCCGCGGUAAUACGGAGGGUGCAAGCGUUAAUCGGAAUUACUGGGCGUAAAGCGCACGCAGGCGGUUUGUUAAGUCAGAUGUGAAAUCCCCGGGCUCAACCUGGGAACUGCAUCUGAUACUGGCAAGCUUGAGUCUCGUAGAGGGGGGUAGAAUUCCAGGUGUAGCGGUGAAAUGCGUAGAGAUCUGGAGGAAUACCGGUGGCGAAGGCGGCCCCCUGGACGAAGACUGACGCUCAGGUGCGAAAGCGUGGGGAGCAAACAGGAUUAGAUACCCUGGUAGUCCACGCCGUAAACGAUGUCGACUUGGAGGUUGUGCCCUUGAGGCGUGGCUUCCGGAGCUAACGCGUUAAGUCGACCGCCUGGGGAGUACGGCCGCAAGGUUAAAACUCAAAUGAAUUGACGGGGGCCCGCACAAGCGGUGGAGCAUGUGGUUUAAUUCGAUGCAACGCGAAGAACCUUACCUGGUCUUGACAUCCACAGAACCUUGUAGAGAUACGAGGGUGCCUUCGGGAACUGUGAGACAGGUGCUGCAUGGCUGUCGUCAGCUCGUGUUGUGAAAUGUUGGGUUAAGUCCCGCAACGAGCGCAACCCUUAUCCUUUGUUGCCAGCGGUCCGGCCGGGAACUCAAAGGAGACUGCCAGUGAUAAACUGGAGGAAGGUGGGGAUGACGUCAAGUCAUCAUGGCCCUUACGACCAGGGCUACACACGUGCUACAAUGGCGCAUACAAAGAGAAGCGACCUCGCGAGAGCAAGCGGACCUCAUAAAGUGCGUCGUAGUCCGGAUUGGAGUCUGCAACUCGACUCCAUGAAGUCGGAAUCGCUAGUAAUCGUGGAUCAGAAUGCCACGGUGAAUACGUUCCCGGGCCUUGUACACACCGCCCGUCACACCAUGGGAGUGGGUUGCAAAAGAAGUAGGUAGCUUAACCUUCGGGAGGGCGCUUACCACUUUGUGAUUCAUGACUGGGGUGAAGUCGUAACAAGGUAACCGUAGGGGAACCUGCGGUUGGAUCACCU